This 301-nucleotide ribosomal RNA is filed under the name uncultured bacterium. RNAcentral's name for it is "partial 16S ribosomal RNA". It matches the Rfam family "Bacterial small subunit ribosomal RNA", at positions 509 to 807 of the family's 1533-position model. The record is from RNAcentral.
CAGCCGCCACGGUAAUACAGAGGGUGCGAGCGUUAAUCGGAUUUACUGGGCGUAAAGCGUGCGUAGGCGGCUAAUUGAGUCGGAUGUGAAAUCCCCGAGCUUAACUUGGGAAUUGCAUUCGAUACUGGUUAGCUAGAGUGUGGGAGAGGAUGGUAGAAUUCCAGGUGUAGCGGUGAAAUGCGUAGAGAUCUGGAGGAAUACCGAUGGCGAAGGCAGCCAUCUGGCCUAACACUGACGCUGAGGUACGAAAGCAUGGGGAGCAAACAGGAUUAGAGACCCGCGUAGUCCCUGUCUCUUAUAC